UAGUGUUACAGCUCUUUUAGAAUUUGUCUAGCAGGCUUCCCAAUUUUUGCAGGAAAGCCCCU
Non-coding RNA from Chlorocebus sabaeus (green monkey), 62 nucleotides. It matches the Rfam family "U7 small nuclear RNA". From Rfam's summary of the family: Animal histone pre-mRNAs are spliced by a different mechanism than nuclear pre-mRNAs and self-splicing introns. This processing involves the U7 snRNP, which contains only one RNA species: U7. The 5' end of U7 RNA is thought to base-pair to a conserved spacer element downstream of the cleavage site in histone pre-mRNA. Lineage: Eukaryota; Metazoa; Chordata; Mammalia; Primates; Cercopithecidae. The record is from Rfam.